This 2918-nucleotide ribosomal RNA is filed under the name Pseudomonas syringae. RNAcentral describes it as "bacterial LSU rRNA". It matches the Rfam family "Bacterial large subunit ribosomal RNA". The record is from RNAcentral. Lineage: Bacteria; Pseudomonadati; Pseudomonadota; Gammaproteobacteria; Pseudomonadales; Pseudomonadaceae.
GUUAUAUGGUCAAGUGAAGAAGCGCAUACGGUGGAUGCCUUGGCAGUCAGAGGCGAUGAAAGACGUGGUAGCCUGCGAAAAGCUUCGGGGAGUCGGCAAACAGACUGUGAUCCGGAGAUAUCUGAAUGGGGGAACCCAGCCAUCAUAAGAUGGUUAUCUUGUACUGAAUACAUAGGUGCAAGAGGCGAACCAGGGGAACUGAAACAUCUAAGUACCCUGAGGAAAAGAAAUCAACCGAGAUUCCCUUAGUAGUGGCGAGCGAACGGGGACCAGCCCUUAAGUUGUAUUGAGAUUAGCGGAACGUUCUGGAAAGGACGGCCAUAGUGGGUGAUAGCCCUGUACGCGAAAAUCCCUUUGCAAUGAAAUCGAGUAGGACGGGGCACGAGAAACCUUGUCUGAAUAUGGGGGGACCAUCCUCCAAGGCUAAAUACUACUGACUGACCGAUAGUGAACCAGUACCGUGAGGGAAAGGCGAAAAGAACCGCGGAGAGCGGAGUGAAAUAGAUCCUGAAACCGUAUGCGUACAAGCAGUGGGAGCCCACUUUGUUGGGUGACUGCGUACCUUUUGUAUAAUGGGUCAGCGACUUAUUUUCAGUGGCGAGCUUAACCGAAUAGGGGAGGCGUAGCGAAAGCGAGUCUUAAUAGGGCGUCUAGUCGCUGGGAAUAGACCCGAAACCGGGCGAUCUAUCCAUGGGCAGGUUGAAGGUUGGGUAACACUAACUGGAGGACCGAACCGACUACCGUUGAAAAGUUAGCGGAUGACCUGUGGAUCGGAGUGAAAGGCUAAUCAAGCUCGGAGAUAGCUGGUUCUCCUCGAAAGCUAUUUAGGUAGCGCCUCAUGUAUCACUGUAGGGGGUAGAGCACUGUUUCGGCUAGGGGGUCAUCCCGACUUACCAAACCGAUGCAAACUCCGAAUACCUACAAGUGCCGAGCAUGGGAGACACACGGCGGGUGCUAACGUCCGUCGUGAAAAGGGAAACAACCCAGACCGUCAGCUAAGGUCCCAAAGUCAUGGUUAAGUGGGAAACGAUGUGGGAAGGCUUAGACAGCUAGGAGGUUGGCUUAGAAGCAGCCACCCUUUAAAGAAAGCGUAAUAGCUCACUAGUCGAGUCGGCCUGCGCGGAAGAUGUAACGGGGCUCAAACCAUGCACCGAAGCUACGGGUAUCAUCUUUUGAUGAUGCGGUAGAGGAGCGUUCUGUAAGCCUGUGAAGGUGAGUUGAGAAGCUUGCUGGAGGUAUCAGAAGUGCGAAUGCUGACAUGAGUAACGACAAUGGGUGUGAAAAACACCCACGCCGAAAGACCAAGGUUUCCUGCGCAACGUUAAUCGACGCAGGGUUAGUCGGUCCCUAAGGCGAGGCUGAAAAGCGUAGUCGAUGGAAAACAGGUUAAUAUUCCUGUACUUCUGGUUAUUGCGAUGGAGGGACGGAGAAGGCUAGGCCAGCCUGGCGUUGGUUGUCCAGGUUUAAGGUGGUAGGCUGAGAUCUUAGGUAAAUCCGGGAUCUUAAGGCCGAGAGCUGAUGACGAGUGUUCUUUUAGAACACGAAGUGGUUGAUGCCAUGCUUCCAAGAAAAGCUUCUAAGCUUCAGGUAACCAGGAACCGUACCCCAAACCGACACAGGUGGUUGGGUAGAGAAUACCAAGGCGCUUGAGAGAACUCGGGUGAAGGAACUAGGCAAAAUGGCACCGUAACUUCGGGAGAAGGUGCGCCGGUGGAGGUGAAGCAUUUACUGCGUAAGCCCCUGCCGGUCGAAGAUACCAGGCCGCUGCGACUGUUUAUUAAAAACACAGCACUCUGCAAACACGAAAGUGGACGUAUAGGGUGUGACGCCUGCCCGGUGCCGGAAGGUUAAUUGAUGGGGUUAGCGCAAGCGAAGCUCUUGAUCGAAGCCCCGGUAAACGGCGGCCGUAACUAUAACGGUCCUAAGGUAGCGAAAUUCCUUGUCGGGUAAGUUCCGACCUGCACGAAUGGCGUAACGAUGGCGGCGCUGUCUCCACCCGAGACUCAGUGAAAUUGAAAUCGCUGUGAAGAUGCAGUGUAUCCGCGGCUAGACGGAAAGACCCCGUGAACCUUUACUAUAGCUUUGCACUGGACUUUGAAUUUGCUUGUGUAGGAUAGGUGGGAGGCUUUGAAGCGUGGACGCCAGUCUGCGUGGAGCCAACCUUGAAAUACCACCCUGGCAACUUUGAGGUUCUAACUCAGGUCCGUUAUCCGGAUCGAGGACAGUGUAUGGUGGGUAGUUUGACUGGGGCGGUCUCCUCCUAAAGAGUAACGGAGGAGUACGAAGGUGCGCUCAGACCGGUCGGAAAUCGGUCGUAGAGUAUAAAGGCAAAAGCGCGCUUGACUGCGAGACAGACACGUCGAGCAGGUACGAAAGUAGGUCUUAGUGAUCCGGUGGUUCUGUAUGGAAGGGCCAUCGCUCAACGGAUAAAAGGUACUCCGGGGAUAACAGGCUGAUACCGCCCAAGAGUUCAUAUCGACGGCGGUGUUUGGCACCUCGAUGUCGGCUCAUCACAUCCUGGGGCUGAAGCCGGUCCCAAGGGUAUGGCUGUUCGCCAUUUAAAGUGGUACGCGAGCUGGGUUUAGAACGUCGUGAGACAGUUCGGUCCCUAUCUGCCGUGGACGUUUGAGAUUUGAGAGGGGCUGCUCCUAGUACGAGAGGACCGGAGUGGACGAACCUCUGGUGUUCCGGUUGUCACGCCAGUGGCAUUGCCGGGUAGCUAUGUUCGGAAAAGAUAACCGCUGAAAGCAUCUAAGCGGGAAACUUGCCUCAAGAUGAGAUCUCACUGGAACCUUGAGUUCCCUAAAGGGCCGUCGAAGACUACGACGUUGAUAGGUUGGGUGUGUAAGCGCUGUGAGGCGUUGAGCUAACCAAUACUAAUUGCCCGUGAGGCUUGACCAUAUAACACCCAAGCAAUU